AUUGAACGCUGGCGGCAUGCUUUACACAUGCAAGUCGAACGGCAGCACGGGGGCAACCCUGGUGGCGAGUGGCGAACGGGUGAGUAAUGUAUCGGAACAUAUCCGGAAGUGGGGGAUAACGUAGCGAAAGUUACGCUAAUACCGCAUAUGCCCUGAGGGGGAAAGGGGGGGAUCGCAAGACCUCUCGCUUUCGGAGUGGCCGAUAUCGGAUUAGCUAGAUGGUGGGGUAAAGGCUUACCAUGGCGACGAUCCGUAGCUGGUCUGAGAGGACGACCAGCCAAACGGGGACUGAGACACGGCCCAGACUCCUACGGGAGGCAGCAGUGGGGAAUUUUGGACAAUGGGGGCAACCCUGAUCCAGCCAUGCCGCGUGAGUGAAGAAGGCCUUCGGGUUGUAAAGCUCUUUCAGACGGAAAGAAACGGUCACGGCGAAUACCCGUGACUAAUGACGGUACCGUAAGAAGAAGCACCGGCUAACUACGUGCCAGCCGCCGCAGUAA
This 500-nucleotide ribosomal RNA is filed under the name uncultured bacterium. Its description in RNAcentral is "partial 16S ribosomal RNA". It matches the Rfam family "Bacterial small subunit ribosomal RNA", at positions 29 to 523 of the family's 1533-position model. The record is from RNAcentral.